Molecule: ribosomal RNA, 474 nt
Filed under: uncultured bacterium
Lineage: Bacteria
Description: bacterial SSU rRNA
Rfam family: Bacterial small subunit ribosomal RNA
Source: RNAcentral
ACUCCUACGGGAGGCAGCAGUGGGGAAUAUUGCACAAUGGGCGCAAGCCUGAUGCAGCCAUGCCGCGUGUGUGAAGAAGGCCUUCGGGUUGUAAAGCACUUUCAGUCGUGAGGAAGGUGGUAGUGUUAAUAGCACUAUCAUUUGACGUUAGCGACAGAAGAAGCACCGGCUAACUCCGUGCCAGCAGCCGCGGUAAUACGGAGGGUGCGAGCGUUAAUCGGAAUUACUGGGCGUAAAGCGCAUGCAGGUGGUUUGUUAAGUCAGAUGUGAAAGCCCGGGGCUCAACCUCGGAAUAGCAUUUGAAACUGGCAAGCUAGAGUACUGUAGAGGGGGGUAGAAUUUCAGGUGUAGCGGUGAAAUGCGUAGAGAUCUGAAGGAAUACCGGUGGCGAAGGCGGCCCCCCUGGACAGAUACCUGACACUCAGAUGCGAAAGCGUGGGGAGCAAACAGGAUUAGACACCCUGGUAGGCGUAG